UAUUCAUCUGAUUGUUCAAAGGAAAAAUAUGAAAUAGCUAAACAAAUGACGAAAUUUAUCGAGUACUAUUUUUCAUGUAUAUACAAAUAUCGUUCUAGUUUUUGGAAUUAAUAAAGGAAUAGUAGCGAUCAAGAAAGUGUUAUUUCUAUGAAGAACGAGAAAAUCGGAAUGUCAAUUCCGAUUCGGCCAUUUUAAAAGGACUUACGUAUGUACGACGUCCAGCAGGGAAAGUGCCGCGACUCUUCGCCAGGAAUGGCGAGGUCGAGAAAGGCGAAAGGAGAGAAGAAGAGGAACUGUGAGACUCUCUGUGGAAUUUUGUAAGAGCCGUACAUAAUCCAUAAACGCGCCUGCCAGGCAGAAGCCGUGCGAAAGGAGGAAAAACGCUCACGCAAUGAGGUCCAUCCGUGCUCCAGUUCUGGAUGAAAUUGCAAAGUGGGAUUCCAUGGCUCAAAGAGGAUUCUUUUAAGGGCCAUUUUUGUGACGCGGCAUCUGCUCCGGUCCGACUGGAACAAAUGAAAAAUAGACGGUAGACCCUGCCUGAGUAACUACGUUCUGAAACCCAAAAUAACAACGAAUCGUUAAAUUCGUUAAAAUGGACUUUUGCUCCGAAGCACACCCAGGCAGGAACGCAGACAAUUCAAAUUUCCACUUUCCUCGCAGUAUAUAUUUUAAAGCCAAUCGCACGGAGAUUUUCAUCCAAUAAACCAAUAUCUGAUCUCUUUUACAUGUACUUUUCUAAAAGAAAUGAAUACUUUAACGCGAGCAUAAAAAGCUCUUCGUCUUCGCAUUGAAAUGAUAAAAAUAUUCCAAGUAAUUUAAUAUUGAAAAUUUAUAUGUUAAUUCUAAAUAAUGUAAGAUUAGGAUUUAAUACGAUAAUAAUUCCCGAUCAUUUUAAUACAACAAUUUUAAACAACGUAGAAUUCGAAUUUCUUUCUCAACUUUUUCACUCUCGAAGCUCAUAACGAACUUUUGUCCACGAGAAACACGUAAUUGGACGAUCUAUCAGAUCCGGAGAAGUCGCAGCCUGUGAAAGGAGAGAAAAACGCGGGCACGAUGAUGCACAAUGCGGUCUGCUCGGCCAAUUAUGGGAAGAAGAUUUGUCGAGCAGCCGGCUCGCGGUAAAAUGUGCGCGUU
Bombus terrestris (buff-tailed bumblebee) is the source of this 1134-nucleotide long non-coding RNA. RefSeq lists it as uncharacterized. The record is from RefSeq and is a predicted model, not a curated record. NCBI's taxonomy places the organism in Eukaryota, Metazoa, Arthropoda, Insecta, Hymenoptera, Apidae. The transcript has 3 exons.